AGCAGCCGCGGUAAUUCCAGCUCCAAUAGCGUAUAUUAAAGUUGUUGCAGUUAAAAAGCUCGUAGUUGAAUUUCGGGGUCAGUAGGCUGGUCGUGCCACUGGUAUGUACUGGUCUCACUGAUUCCUCCUUCCUGAUGAACCGUAAUGCCAUUAAUUUGGUGUUGCGGGGAAUCUGGACUGUUACUUUGAAAAAAUUAGAGUGUUUAAAGCAGGCUAACGCUUGAAUACAUUAGCAUGGAAUAAUGAAAUAGGACGAUCGAUCCUAUUUUGUUGGUUUU
This 278-nucleotide ribosomal RNA is filed under the name Glomeromycota sp. Its description in RNAcentral is "partial small subunit ribosomal RNA". It matches the Rfam family "Eukaryotic small subunit ribosomal RNA", at positions 569 to 852 of the family's 1831-position model. Lineage: Eukaryota; Fungi; Glomeromycota. The record is from RNAcentral.